This 478-nucleotide ribosomal RNA is filed under the name uncultured bacterium. RNAcentral's name for it is "partial 16S ribosomal RNA". It matches the Rfam family "Bacterial small subunit ribosomal RNA", at positions 28 to 523 of the family's 1533-position model. The record is from RNAcentral.
GACGAACGCUGGCGGCGUGCUUAACACAUGCAAGUCGAACGGUAAGGCCCUUCGGGGUACACGAGUGGCGAACGGGUGAGUAACACGUGGGUGAUCUGCCCUGCACUUCGGGAUAAGCCUGGGAAACUGGGCCUAAUACCGGAUAGGACCACUGCCUGCAUGGGUGGUGGUGGAAAGCUUUUGCGGGGUGGGAUGGGCCCGCAGCCUAUCAGCUUGUUGGUGGGGUGAUGGCCUACCAAGGCGACGACGGGUAGCCGGCCUGAGAGGGUGACCGGCCACACUGGGACUGAGAUACGGCCCAGACUCCUACGGGAGGCAGCAGUGGGGAAUAUUGCACAAUGGGCGCAAGCCUGAUGCAGCGACGCCGCGUGAGGGAUGACGGCCUUCGGGUUGUAAACCUCUUUCAGCACCGACGAAGCGCAAGUGACGGUAGGUGCAGAAGAAGGACCGGCCAACUACGUGCCAGCCGCCGCCGUAA